This 63-nucleotide transfer RNA is filed under the name Dercetina varipennis. RNAcentral's name for it is "tRNA-Thr". Lineage: Eukaryota; Metazoa; Arthropoda; Insecta; Coleoptera; Chrysomelidae. The record is from RNAcentral.
GUUUUAAUAAUUUAAUAAAAAUAUUGGUCUUGUAAACCAAAUUUAAGAGUAACUUUUAAAACU